AACGCACAUUGCGCCCCUUGGUAUUCCAUGGGGCAUGCCUGUUCGAGCGUCAUUUGUACCCUCAAGCUUUGCUUGGUGAUGGGUGUUUGUUCCGCUGCAACGCGUGAACUCGCCUCAAAUCAAUUGGCAGCCGGCAAUCUGGUGUUUGAGCGCAGCACAUUUUGCGCUCUUCGCUGCGUAUUGCGGGCGUCCAUGAAGCCUAUAUUUUCGCGCUUGACCUCGGAUCAGGUAGGGAUACCCGCUGAACUUAA
This 251-nucleotide unclassified non-coding RNA is filed under the name uncultured Pleosporales. RNAcentral describes it as "sequence contains ITS2". The record is from RNAcentral. Lineage: Eukaryota; Fungi; Ascomycota; Dothideomycetes; Pleosporales.